This is a long non-coding RNA of Aethalodelphis obliquidens (Pacific white-sided dolphin), 4365 nucleotides long. RefSeq lists it as uncharacterized. NCBI's taxonomy places the organism in Eukaryota, Metazoa, Chordata, Mammalia, Artiodactyla, Delphinidae. The transcript has 2 exons. The record is from RefSeq and is a predicted model, not a curated record.
UUAAUGCGGUGACUCAGUGUGGGGCCUCUAGAUAAUUUCAGGAUGGUGACUGGUCACCAGAAAGAUCAAAUAUGUGAUUAGGAAAUGGGAAUUUUCCACUCCACCCACCUCAUUCGACCUCCAGGAAGGGGAAGGGGCCCUGGUGAUUGGAUUAUAAAAACUCUUACCCAGUGAGGUUCAGAGGACUUCCAAGUUGGUAAAUACAUCAAGGUGUGGCAGGGUGACAACCCUGGACAGGGCAUGGAAGCUCUCAUCUCACCCCCACCCCCACCCCCCGCCCCACCCCGCCCCAUACCUUGCUCUAUACAUCUCUUCCAUUUGGUUUAUUUGCUCCUUUAAAAUAAACCUUAGUUCUAUGAGUCAUUCUAGCAAAUUAUUGAACUUGGGAGAGAGGAGUUGUGGGAACUCCUGAAUUUGUAGUCAGCCCAGCAGAAGUAUGGGUACCCCCAGGCACCCCAUUUGCAACUGGCAUCUCACGUAGGUUAAUCUUAUGGGACUAAGCCCUUCAACUUGUAGGAUCUGACACUAACUCCAGGUAGAUAGUGUCAGAAUUGCAUUAAAUUGUUGGGCACCCGGUUGGCAUUCGAGAAUUUGGUGGUGGUGUGGAAAAAACUCCAUAGGAACCAGUUACAAAAAGAGAGUUCCCAACUGCAGAGUAUAAGGACCCAGAGCUUUCUUAUCCCCUUGCUCUAUUUAUCAGAAAUAUGCAAAAUAAGUUUAAAAUAAAAGGCAAAUCUCUGGCAGGAGGCUCUGCGUAUUGCUGUGAAGAGCUUCAAAUGAGAUCUGAUGCAGAAUAACAUUGUAGGCAGCCACCACUGUUGGUGAGAGAGCAUCUGUACCAGCAAGUGCAUCACCACAGGCAUCCACCCGGAGCUUAAGGUAUGAAGAAACAAGCUCAGAGAGGUAAUGGACUCACCCAAGACCACACAGCAGAACAGCUACUGAGUUCAAAUUUGGGCCUGUGGUCCUAGAUCUUAGGAGAGGCUCUUUAGAGCCACCUGUCCCCUGUCCCUUGCACAGUGCCUAGCACAGGGUUAUGAACUUCAAGACUAAACUGGGAUGAGGGGCUCAGGAGGAUAAGGCAGGAGGGGUGAGGGGGAAGGACCCAGAAGUCCCAACCCUACACUUUUGUCCUCUUUCAGGAUCCUCAUGGCCUGAGGCAGAGGCCUAGACGAAUGGGCGGCAGGACAGAAUGUUCUGGCAGCCACCGACUAGAUCAGAGGCACAAAUAUUUGCUAAGCCCAGGGGCCUCCCAGACAUGCUGGCAGGGUUCAGGGAAGCAAGUGUAUGGAGCCUCUUCCUGUGGAGCCAGGGAAUCCAGGAGAAGGAGAAGCCCCUCAGAGAGUCCUCCCUGACCCCAUUUGCUUUGUCACUUUUGUAUACAAGUCUCUCACACCCUCAAGUAUGUAAAGUCCAAUCACAAAGCACCUUCUCAGCCGUGAGCUGAAUAGGGAGGUGACCCCCAUUUUAUAGAUGAGGAAACUGAGGCCCACAGAGGGAAGAGAACACGCCCAAGGGCUGGGAAAUGGGAGAGCCUGAAGUGGAGGCAGGAUGGUAAAGCUUACCCCCAACACCGACAUUCUCGAUCCUGCAUCUGGUCUGCUGCCCAGCCCUACUCAAGAACUGCCCUUGAACUUCACUGGCCUGGACUAUUACUUGCUAGUCCCCGACUGACCCCCAGACCCUCCUCUCUGGCCAGACCUCCCAUACCCUCGCUUCUUACAGCUCCCGAGGGCUGCUCUCUCCCCAGGGGAACCUCCCCUCUCUUCUUACUUCCCAGCUCAGGGAGCACUUCCUAUCUCACACCCUCCUCAAAUCUUGACCCUCCUGCCUUACCUAGCUCGGACCCAGCCUCCAGUCCAGGAAGCCCUCCUGGACUGCUCCUGUUCACAGGGCUCAUGCCCUCUCAGGAGUGGGAGCAUGAGGGGUCUGGGUCCUUCUCAGGAAUGGGAGUAAAACAGGGGUUUGAGGCCUAGUUGCAGUUCUGGCACCAGCUCACUGGGUGUUGUGGGGCUACCCUGUUCUCUCUGAGCCUCAGCUGCCUUAUCUGGACUCAGCUUGCCUGCCUCACCAGGGAACUGAGAGUAUGGGUGGGAAAACCUUGGCAGUGAGCACAGGUCACAGCUGCUGGAGUUCUUGUUGGCAUCAGCAGUACCCCAACCUUGGGCUCCAUCCAGACCCACUGUCAUCCAGCCACACACUGUCUCGACUUCUGCCUCUCCUCUGGGGGUGGGAGGCCUGAGUCUGGCCUGAGAGCUCAGCUGGGCUGGGUGCUGGGCACACAGGCACUCCACUGGCCCUAGCGAGCCAGGCCUGGGAAUGGGGCUGGGAGGGGCUGCAGCUAGAGAGGUUGGAGGCCACCUUGAGUCCCAGCCCCUAGGCAGUUCUGCCCUUCAGUCCUCCAGGGUGUUAGCAACUUUUCCCAAUCAAGAGCAAACUCUAUCUCCAUGGCAGCAAAAUUAGGAAGGGCGCCCGAGAAAUACUGGAGGUUUUUUUCCCCCCGGAGGCCGACUUUUGGAAGGCCCAAAGAAGCGCUCGCCACAAUGCCUAGAAUCAGACUGUCAUGGCGAUGCAUCGUAUGGAAGAAGCCUGCUCCCCAUCGUAGAGAUGAGGAGACUUGACACCUAGAGAGAUGCGGGGACUUGCUACCACUGUAGGGGAGACGCUAGUACGUUCAGGUAGACGGGCCGUCUUCUUGAAGUUGUUGAAGUUGUGGGCAGAGCAAGCUCCCGCUUUUUACUUAGUUUUAAUGCUAUUCUGAGUUGCUUUGGGGGCUCAGGCCCUUUCAGAGUCACCCCUUUGGCACCGCCACUGCGUCGGGUCUUCAAACGUCUAAGACAGAAAGAAGACCAAAGACCUGUAUCUCAGUUCCGAGGCUCCGGACCCUCGGAAUCCCAAGGAGGAGGGAGCCUCGCUCGCCCAGCAAGGGGUAUGGGGGCUCCGCGGGGCGGGGCACGCCGGGGGCGGGGCCGAGGCAGCUAUGGCUCCACCCCCGGUAAACUCCGGACUCGGGUAAACAAGCCUAGGCGACGCCUGGGGCUGCGCCUACAAGCCGGGCGCCGAGUUACAUCACGGUUCCCGGGAGCUUCCCGCCCCGGCCGCCAGGUCCCCGCGGCCCUCGCUUGCCCGCCGCCUGUGUCCGAGGAGCAGUGGGCCGGCGAGGAGCCUCCCUCCCCGGGCCCCCCCAGGCCAGGAAGGCCUCCAGGUUUUCUCCGGAGGCCCCUGGGACUUCGUUGACACCGGUUCAGCUAGAGGGAAGGAACUACGCCGUGGCAGCACAAGAACUGCUCCCCAGUUUCCCCACCUGUGAAACCAGGGGGCUGCGUUAGGGUUCUGUGCCUCCCAGAUGGGGGAAGAAGAGGUGCGCCCUGAGCCCAGGGCGAGGGGCCGCUCCCGACCGAGCUGGCUGUGGCUUGGAGCCGGGCUUUCUCCUUUAGCGGUGUAGUGGGUGCUCGCAAAGCCAGGUGUCCCAGAACGCAGACCCUCCCCUCCAAGGGGUCUGGGGGACCACUCAGCCGCGCAGAGCAAGGAUGACUCUGUAGUAUCCUAGCGUCUCCCUCUCCCGACUUGCUGCGGGACACCGACCCUCUGGGUAACAGGAAGACCUGCCCGCCACCCUCACAGCGGGUUUGUGCCAGCGCUUUGGAAAAGGUAUUGGGUUGCACAACCAGUGGGGGAGAUUGCCGCUCAAUAUCGACAGCUUGCACCUCGGAGCCUGAUCCGAGCAACAGGCUGCCUGAGGAGGCUGUGGGCCCCCGCCCCUGGGACACUCAAGCAGAGCGUGGGCCAGAACAGGUCACGGAGGCAGCAGAAGGGAUGCUUGCCCGAUCUCUAGGAGCUGCCCGGUCCCGGCACCCAGCGAUUUGGUGAUUCUGCACCUGCGCUGUCCAAUAAGGUAACCACUAGACACUUGUGCCCGUUGAACACUUGUAGUGUAGUUUGGGGACUCACUUGGAACCCCAGAGUUGUCAUGAAGGUCAUUUUAAGCUGAAGAUAUUUGAGAUUCAGCAGAUGCAGAAAAAAGCCUCCUGGGAGCUUCUCUUAUCUGACGAAAAGCAGCAACUUCUGGGAAAACGAAGCUACCAUAAAUCCCCUCUCCAGGGGAGUUUCACGGCCCUGAAGAAGACGAGAGACCUUUCACACUUGUAUAGACAAAUAUUAUCACAAACUUUCUUAUGUUGGUUCUCCUAAAAACCCAUUUAUCAUUCCUAAAGAAAUCUAUUUUUUUCCCCCAUAGAAGCUAUUAUUUCCCCCCAUUUUCCGUAAGUUAGGUUUGUAAACCUUUAACUUUAAUCAUUUAAUGAGCCAGUUACUUCCUUUGUUGGCUCCUGUGUGCAUAUGAAAUACACUUUUUUCUCCUGUUAA